CUUUUUUUUUUUUUUUUGCAGACAAGCUUGCCAUGACUGAACCCUGGAAUUGUCAGAGCGCGGAAUUGUGAGGCGCGCACGAGCUGAUCAGGAAGAACGGAACUCGCGUGGCCGGGAUCAUGACACCCGCGGCGCGGAGGGCAGAAACCAACAAGAGAGCCUGACGACCGGCCAGCCCAGCAGUCUCUGAGCGGCCUUAUCGGCAGCAGCCAGGUGGUCACCCUCCCUGUGCAGGGGAGAGCCGGGGUCAGAAACCAGCCUCGUGGGGUUUAUCUCCCCCCACCCCGCCCCAGCUCUUCUUCUGAGGGGAACUUUCAGACUUUCCGCCCGGCGGCGGCGGCAGCAGCGGGGAGCACAUGGCGAAAACAGAAGCGGGGGGGGGAGAGCUCCAGGAGGGAGAACGGAAUGGCUGGCAGACGAGAGGAAGGCGGCGCGGCAGGGCCGGGGGCCAAACGGGAGCCCAGGGAGGCUGCUGGACUGGCCAGGCUUGAGCGGGGUCGGGGCUGAGACUUGCUGUAGCCACUGAGACCGCCAGAAACUUUUCAUCUCACAGAAAAGGGAGAGGGAAAGGGGCGGGGCCGGAGUAUCCCGUGGCGCCCUCUGAAUCUCUUCCAUUGAGUCUCGCCUUUGAGUCAUCUGCGUGCAGCCCAAUGGUAAGUUCUGCGGCUCCUCUAAGUCCCACCCAGCAACCUCGAGGUCGGCUUCCCCGCUGACCUCAUUUGCGUUGUCCCGUCGGUGCUUUGGCUGAAGCCGGUGGCGAAGCGUGGGAGCCGCGAUUGCAUGCCGGCAGCAGCGCCUUCAGACGCUGCAAUCACGAGCGCUCGCGGCAUUCCGGAGGAGUCCUCGUUUCUGUCUGUGGAGCAAAACGUAGAGUCUUGUGUGGCGUCUUAACAAGGGCUAACUUCAUCACCCCCACAAAGAAAUAAGUUGUGGAAAGCGGGAUCAAAAAGCAAGAGGUGCCGCCUGCAACAGCACUUUCAAAGUACUAUCAAAGAACCACCACGAGAAGGAGUCGGGGCUAAAGGUUGCACGCAAUAUAGCAUACUUUCGCCUUUUUCCUUCAGGUUAUAACAAUCACGUGGACCCUGAACCUUCUGCUAUAUGGCCCUCGUGAAGCACUAUCCCUAUAUUCUGUUUGUGGAAGAAGUUGCUUACCUCUCUAGAAACGAAAUCUUUGAGAGGGAAGCGGAUGCAUCGCGACGCUCCUGCACUGCACAUGCGUAUAACAUGUUCACACAAAAUUUUAGUUCACAUUUAGACUCUUCUCUACCCUAACUGGCUAUCUAGUUAAGUAAGUGUUGCUGAAUAUUUUCUGGACAGUUGCAGCUAUUCUGUGCAAGUGGAUCCAUUGUGAGAUUAAAUGUUCUGUUCAACAUACUUUAAAAGUAAAGCCCUCGGAUAAUGCAGCAA
This is a long non-coding RNA of Hemicordylus capensis (graceful crag lizard), 1410 nucleotides long. RefSeq lists it as uncharacterized. The transcript has 2 exons. Lineage: Eukaryota; Metazoa; Chordata; Lepidosauria; Squamata; Cordylidae. The record is from RefSeq and is a predicted model, not a curated record.